RNAcentral lists this microRNA (21 nucleotides) under Drosophila virilis. RNAcentral describes it as "dvi-miR-9539-3p". The record is from miRBase by way of RNAcentral. Lineage: Eukaryota; Metazoa; Arthropoda; Insecta; Diptera; Drosophilidae.
UUGCCAUUCACAGUAUCAAUG